Molecule: small RNA, 119 nt
Filed under: Marmota monax (woodchuck)
Lineage: Eukaryota; Metazoa; Chordata; Mammalia; Rodentia; Sciuridae
Source: RNAcentral
GUCAGGGAAGGUGGUGUACACCUGUAGUCCCAGCUACUCAGGAGGCUGAGCAGGAGAAUCAUUUGGGGCCCAGGGGAGUUUGAAGCCAGUUUGGGCAACACAGUGAGACCCUGACUCAA